Molecule: transfer RNA, 76 nt
Filed under: Verrucomicrobiaceae bacterium
Lineage: Bacteria; Pseudomonadati; Verrucomicrobiota; Verrucomicrobiia; Verrucomicrobiales; Verrucomicrobiaceae
Description: tRNA-Trp
Rfam family: tRNA
About the family: Transfer RNA (tRNA) molecules are approximately 80 nucleotides in length.
Source: RNAcentral
ACGGAGGUGGCUCGACAAGUAAGGCGCUGGAUUCCAAACCCAGUUCAUGUGGGAGCAUUACCCACCCUCCGUGCCA